Small nuclear RNA from Perognathus longimembris pacificus (Pacific pocket mouse), 107 nucleotides. The record is from RefSeq and is a predicted model, not a curated record. NCBI's taxonomy places the organism in Eukaryota, Metazoa, Chordata, Mammalia, Rodentia, Heteromyidae.
GUUCUCCUUUCAGCAGCACGUAUCAUAAGACUGGAAUGAUACAGACAAGAUUAGCAUGGCUCUUCAGCAAGGAUGGCGUACAAAUUAGUGCAGCAUUCCAUAAAAUA